RNAcentral lists this ribosomal RNA (552 nucleotides) under uncultured bacterium. RNAcentral's name for it is "bacterial LSU rRNA". It matches the Rfam family "Bacterial large subunit ribosomal RNA", at positions 651 to 1190 of the family's 2925-position model. The record is from RNAcentral.
UUUACUAAGAAUGAAUCCGUAGCGAAAGCAAGUCCUAAGUCGGGCGAACAUAGUAUCGUGCGGCGAGACGCGAACCGUGUGAUCUAGGCAUGACCAGGAUGAAGGCCGGGUAACACCUGCUGGAGGUCCGAACCCACACCUGUUGAAAAAGGUCGGGAUGAGUUGUGCCUAGGGGUGAAAAGGGCCAAUCAAACUCGGAGAUAGCUGGUUCUCCGCGAAAUCUAUUUAGGUAGAGCGUCAUCCGAAUACCCCGGGGGGUAGAGCACUGGAUGGGUAAUGGGGCCCCACAGGCUUACUGAUCCUAACCAAACUCCGAAUACCCGGGAGUACUAGAUGGCAGACAGACGGCGGAUGCUAACGUCCGUCGUCGAGAGGGAAACAACCCUGACCUCCAGCUAAGGCCCCCAAUUCACGGCUAAGUGGGAAAGCAGGUGGGACGACCAAAACAACCAGGAGGUUGGCUUAGAAGCAGCCAUCCUUUAAAGAUAGCGUAACAGCUCACUGGUCUAGACAAGUUGUCCUGCGGCGAAGAUGUAACGGGGCUCAAGCCGU